Molecule: non-coding RNA, 84 nt
Organism: Gemmatimonadetes bacterium 13_1_40CM_4_69_8
Lineage: Bacteria; Pseudomonadati; Gemmatimonadota
Source: Rfam
GCCGGCGUGGCGGAAAUGGCAGACGCGGACGUCUCGCAAGCGUCUGGGCGAAAGCCCGUGCGGGUUCGAAUCCCGCCGCCGGCA